RNAcentral lists this ribosomal RNA (253 nucleotides) under uncultured bacterium. Its description in RNAcentral is "partial 16S ribosomal RNA". It matches the Rfam family "Bacterial small subunit ribosomal RNA", at positions 524 to 776 of the family's 1533-position model. The record is from RNAcentral.
UACGGGGGGGGUAAGCGUUGUUCGGAAUUAUUGGGCGUAAAGAGCUUGUAGGCGGUUUGUCGCGUCUGCUGUGAAAAUCCGGGGCUCAACCCCGGACUUGCAGUGGGUACGGGCAGACUAGAGUGUGGUAGGGGAGACUGGAAUUCCUGGUGUAGCGGUGAAAUGCGCAGAUAUCAGGAGGAACACCGAUGGCGAAGGCAGGUCUCUGGGCCACUACUGACGCUGAGAAGCGAAAGCAUGGGGAGCGAACAGG